This 585-nucleotide ribosomal RNA is filed under the name Triticum aestivum (bread wheat). RNAcentral's name for it is "partial small subunit ribosomal RNA". The record is from RNAcentral. Lineage: Eukaryota; Viridiplantae; Streptophyta; Magnoliopsida; Poales; Poaceae.
AUGGGACCGAUGCGCUUCGCAGGUACCUAUGACAGCGGCGGGACAUCCAAGAAGAAAGAUAAGGCGAGGCCCUCUUCACCCGAAGAAGAGACCCUCUUCUGUAGUAAUGUUACUUUACUAGGAGAAGGUGCAAUAACCGGCCAUCGUUUUCCAGAAAUUAGACCAAGACCUGUGCAGACUAGUUCAAGAGUCAUUUUCCUUAAUUUUAUUUUUCACAUUGGUAUGAACGGCAUAAUACAUUACAUAAUCCUGUUAAGACGGAGUCAUGCAUGCUUCUACUUUAAUGUGUUUUUUCAGCAAGCAUCUUCCAUCAUUCACCAAGGAGGAAAUGUUCUCUAUGGUAGACAAAUAUUUGAAUGUGGACGAAGAUGCUUGCUGAAAAAACGAGGUCCAUCAAGAGUUCAGGGUCGAAGAGACCAAUGCUGGUUGAUGGGACCGAUGUGCUUCGGAGGUCCCUAUGACCGUGGCGGGACAUCCAAGAAGAAAAAUAAGACGAGGUCGUCUUCACCCGAAGAAGAGGCCCUCUUCUAUGUUACUUUAGUAGGAGAAGGUGCAAUAACCGUCCAUUCUUUUUUUAGAAAUUAG